RNAcentral lists this ribosomal RNA (495 nucleotides) under uncultured bacterium. RNAcentral describes it as "partial 16S ribosomal RNA". It matches the Rfam family "Bacterial small subunit ribosomal RNA", at positions 28 to 507 of the family's 1533-position model. The record is from RNAcentral.
GACGAACGCUGGCGGCGUGCCUAAUACAUGCAAGUAGAACGCUGAAGGAGGAGCUUGCUUCUCUGGAUGAGUUGCGAACGGGUGAGUAACGCGUAGGUAACCUGCCUGGUAGCGGGGGAUAACUAUUGGAAACGAUAGCUAAUACCGCAUAAUAGCAGUUGUUGCAUGACAACUGUUUGAAAGGUGCAAUUGCACCACUACCAGAUGGACCUGCGUUGUAUUAGCUAGUUGGUGGGGUAACGACUCACCAAGGCGACGAUACAUAGCCGACCUGAGAGGGUGAUCGGCCACACUGGGACUGAGACACGGCCCAGACUCCUACGGGAGGCAGCAGUAGGGAAUCUUCGGCAAUGGACGGAAGUCUGACCGAGCAACGCCGCGUGAGUGAAGAAGGUUUUCGGAUCGUAAAGCUCUGUUGUAAGAGAAGAACGAGUGUGAGAGUGGAAAGUUCACACUGUGACGGUAUCUUACCAGAAAGGGACGGCUAACUACGUG